RNAcentral lists this ribosomal RNA (467 nucleotides) under uncultured bacterium. RNAcentral's name for it is "partial 16S ribosomal RNA". It matches the Rfam family "Bacterial small subunit ribosomal RNA", at positions 29 to 507 of the family's 1533-position model. The record is from RNAcentral.
ACGAACGCUGGCGGCGUGCUUCACACAUGCAAGUCGCACGGAAAGGCCCUGCUUUUGUGGGGUGCUCGAGUGGCGAACGGGUGAGUAACACGUGAGUAACCUGCCCUUGACUUUGGGAUAACUUCAGGAAACUGGGGCUAAUACCGGAUAGGAGCUCCUGCUGCAUGGUGGGGGUUGGAAAGUUUCGGCGGUUGGGGAUGGACUCGCGGCUUAUCAGCUUGUUGGUGGGGUAGUGGCUUACCAAGGCUUUGACGGGUAGCCGGCCUGAGAGGGUGACCGGCCACAUUGGGACUGAGAUACGGCCCAGACCCCUACGGGAGGCAGCAGUGGGGAAUAUUGCACAAUGGGCGGAAGCCUGAUGCAGCAACGCCGCGUGCGGGAUGACGGCCUUCGGGUUGUAAACCGCUUUCGCCUGUGACGAAGCGUGAGUGACGGUAAUGGGUAAAGAAGCACCGGCUAACUACGUG